This 253-nucleotide ribosomal RNA is filed under the name uncultured bacterium. RNAcentral's name for it is "partial 16S ribosomal RNA". It matches the Rfam family "Bacterial small subunit ribosomal RNA", at positions 524 to 776 of the family's 1533-position model. The record is from RNAcentral.
GACGAACCGUGCGAACGUUGUUCGGAAUCACUGGGCUUAAAGGGCGCGUAGGCGGGCCCGCAAGUCAGGGGUGAAAUCCCACGGCUCAACCGUGGAAGUGCCUUUGAUACUGCGGGCCUUGAGGGAGGUAGGGGCGUGCGGAACUUCCGGUGGAGCGGUGAAAUGCGUAGAUAUCGGAAGGAACACCGGUGGCGAAAGCGGCGCGCUGGACCUCUACUGACGCUGAGGCGCGAAAGCUAGGGGAGCAAACGGG